Molecule: ribosomal RNA, 106 nt
Filed under: Ochotona princeps (American pika)
Lineage: Eukaryota; Metazoa; Chordata; Mammalia; Lagomorpha; Ochotonidae
Source: RNAcentral
UGCUAUGGCCAUACCACCCUGAACACACCCAGUCUCGUCCAAUCUCCAAAGCUAAGCAGGGUCAGGCCUGGUUUGUACUUGGACGGGAGAAAGAUAAAUAUCACAU